GAUGAACGCUGACAGAAUGCUUAACACAUGCAAGUCAACUUGAACUUCGGUUUGGGUGGCGGACGGGUGAGUAACGCGUAAAGAACUUGCCUCACAGAUAGGGACAACAUUUGGAAACGAAUGCUAAUACCUGAUAUUAUGAUUUUAGGGCAUCCUAGAAUUAUGAAAGCUAUAUGCGCUGUGAGAGAGCUUUGCGUCCCAUUAGCUAGUUGGAGAGGUAACGGCUCACCAAGGCGAUGAUGGGUAGCCGGCCUGAGAGGGUGAUCGGCCACAAGGGGACUGAGACACGGCCCUUACUCCUACGGGAGGCAGCAGUGGGGAAUAUUGGACAAUGGACCAAGAGUCUGAUCCAGCAAUUCUGUGUGCACGAUGAAGUUUUUCGGAAUGUAAAGUGCUUUCAGUUGGGAAGAAAAAAAUGACGGUACCAACAGAAGAAGUGACGGCUAAAUACGUGCCAGCAGCUGCGGUAAUACGUAUGUCACAAGCGUUAUCCGGAUUUAUUGGGCGUAAAGCGCGUCUAGGUGGUUAUAUAAGUCUGAUGUGAAAAUGCAGGGCUCAACUCUGUAUUGCGUUGGAAACUGUGUAACUAGAGUACUGGAGAGGUAAGCGGAACUACAAGUGUAGAGGUGAAAUUCGUAGAUAUUUGUAGGAAUGCCGAUGGGGAAGCCAGCUUACUGGACAGAUACUGACGCUGAAGCGCGAAAGCGUGGGUAGCAAACAGG
RNAcentral lists this ribosomal RNA (722 nucleotides) under uncultured Fusobacterium sp. RNAcentral's name for it is "bacterial SSU rRNA". It matches the Rfam family "Bacterial small subunit ribosomal RNA", at positions 28 to 776 of the family's 1533-position model. The record is from RNAcentral. Lineage: Bacteria; Fusobacteriati; Fusobacteriota; Fusobacteriia; Fusobacteriales; Fusobacteriaceae.